Long non-coding RNA from Pocillopora damicornis (cauliflower coral), 161 nucleotides. The record is from RefSeq and is a predicted model, not a curated record. NCBI's taxonomy places the organism in Eukaryota, Metazoa, Cnidaria, Anthozoa, Scleractinia, Pocilloporidae.
CAUCACCAUAUUGUUUCCAUUUUUACCAGCUAUGGUGAAGAGCUUUGGGAUCUCAGAUGAAGACACAGGAUACUAUGCAGGUGUUGUAGCAUCCUCACUGUUUAUUGGACGCACUGCAGCUUGGUGAUUGCAGAUUAAAUCUUUUUUUGAUAUGUUGAUCG